UCCUUAGAAUGUCCAUUUUAUGCACACAGAGAGGGGGAAUGCCCAAAUGCUGUGAUUUGGACAUCUUACUUGACAUGAUAUAAUAAAUAAUUGAGGAGGCUACUCAAACAAAGCAACCAAAUUAGAGACAAAAAGAGAGCCUAAAACUUUGAUUGAAGUAGCCAGCUAUUUCCCAUGAGGCAUGGGAUGCUAGAUUUUGACAUCUUAACCUCCCACAGGAGCUACAGUGAAUAGCAUGAGAGAAUACACAUUGGUUAUCCACCACAUAGAGAACUGCCAUGGUGGUCCUGGUACAACUCUUGCUUGCUGGCCAAAACAUGGGCAACAGUCAUGUACCCUAAGUAGAACAAGCACCUAACAAGAUGGACAUUAUGUAAAAUUUUUUGGCAUGCUAAAUCUUCUGAAUAAUCCCCACAACCACCAACAGAAGCUAACAACGUCCCAAUUUUCUUCUGUUUGAACCCCUAAGUUGUGCGGUGAGGGGCCAAUUCUUCAGGCAGCAAGACUAGCAAUCUAUAGCAAAUGUGGAACUGGCAAAAUUUAAAGAUUUGCAAAACAAAGGAAGAAAUGUUUAAAUCUUGACGAGGUUAAAGCGUGAAAGGGAGAGGAGUGAGUGGUACCCAGAUACCAUUCAUACAUGUUGUCAGAAACCAUGUGACAGUGUGGACCUCACCCAUUCAUGUCCACCUAAAAGAAACAACAGAACGAGACAAAAAAGUCCCUAAAGUAACCUUUAAUCACAUGAAAGAACAAUCUUUACUUUACCCCUCUUUUUAUAAUU
Molecule: unclassified non-coding RNA, 781 nt
Filed under: Hevea brasiliensis (rubber tree)
Lineage: Eukaryota; Viridiplantae; Streptophyta; Magnoliopsida; Malpighiales; Euphorbiaceae
Source: RNAcentral